Molecule: unclassified non-coding RNA, 219 nt
Filed under: Hevea brasiliensis (rubber tree)
Lineage: Eukaryota; Viridiplantae; Streptophyta; Magnoliopsida; Malpighiales; Euphorbiaceae
Source: RNAcentral
UCUUUGCCUCCAGGAAUCCAGUUGCAGCUCACUAAAUCAUUUAAGAAGCUCUCUAAUCAUGGACAUAAAGGAGGAUACCCUUUUGCUAGAGACGUUACCAACUGCUGCUCCACAACCCCUUCUCCCCCUUCGUGCACCUUCUCCAUUGGCACCUUUCACAAACAGCACUUCACUUAGACUAUCUGGACUGUGUACGCUGAACUUUGAUGCUGUGAAAAG